CAGCAGCCGCGGUAAUACGUAGGGUGCGAGCGUUAAUCGGAAUUACUGGGCGUAAAGCGUGCGCAGGCGGUUAUAUAAGACAGAUGUGAAAUCCCCGGGCUCAACCUGGGACCUGCAUUUGUGACUGUAUAGCUAGAGUACGGUAGAGGGGGAUGGAAUUCCGCGUGUAGCAGUGAAAUGCGUAGAUAUGCGGAGGAACACCGAUGGCAAAGGCAAUCCCCUGGACCUGUACUGACGCUCAUGCACGAAGGCGUGUGGAGCAAACAGGAUUAGAUACCCCAGUAGUCCCUGUCUCUUAUAC
This 301-nucleotide ribosomal RNA is filed under the name uncultured bacterium. RNAcentral describes it as "partial 16S ribosomal RNA". It matches the Rfam family "Bacterial small subunit ribosomal RNA", at positions 509 to 807 of the family's 1533-position model. The record is from RNAcentral.